CCUACGGGAGACAGCAGUGAGGAAUAUUGGUCAAUGGACGAGAGUCUGAACCAGCCAAGUAGCGUGAAGGAUGACUGCCCUAUGGGUUGUAAACUUCUUUUAUAUGGGAAUAAAAUGUUCCACGUGUGGGAUUUUGUAUGUACCAUAUGAAUAAGGAUCGGCUAACUCCGUGCCAGCAGCCGCGGUAAUACGGAGGAUCCAAGCGUUAUCCGGAUUGAUUGGGUUUACAGGGAGCGUAGGUGGAUUGUUAAGUCAGUUGUGAAAGUUUGCGGCUCAACCGUAAAAUUGCAGUUGAAACUGGCAGUCUUGAGUACAGUAGAGGUGGGCGGAAUUCGUGGUGUAGCGGUGAAAUGCUUAGAUAUCACGAAGAACUCCGAUUGCGAAGGCAGCUCACUGGACUGCAACUGACACUGAGGCUCGAAAGUGUGGGUAUCAAACAGGAUUAGAUACCCCUGUAGUC
This 460-nucleotide ribosomal RNA is filed under the name uncultured bacterium. Its description in RNAcentral is "partial 16S ribosomal RNA". It matches the Rfam family "Bacterial small subunit ribosomal RNA", at positions 338 to 795 of the family's 1533-position model. The record is from RNAcentral.